AAUGCUAAUGAGACAGGGAUCUCAGAAAUGUGUAUAUCAAAUUUUGACAUGUCGUAAACAGAAUUAAAAGAGUUUGUUGGAACCCUGUACAGAAAAUCACAAUUACAAAGUAGGGAUGAGACCUUCCUGAACAGGACUUAAAAAGCCCACAGCAAAUCUCAGAUGUACCUUACCCAGUAAUACUGUGAUAAAUAAUCCUAAAAUGUUGGGGGGAAAUUAUUUUGAAAGCUAAUAUAGAUUUUAAACUAAUGUGCUGACAUCAUGAUGGCCUGAAUUGAUUUUCGAAUAGCAAAGCAGUGUGCUCUGUUUACCUCCACCAGUAAAAAUCCAACCUGGUCCUUGAUCCUACCUAAUCCUUUAUGUUAAUCUCUUCUAUUAUGUGAAAGCGCCGUGGCAGACUAGUCUGACUGUUACACCACGAAUUUUGCCUUAUGUCACCCUGGCCUUUCAAUAGUGUUUGAGUUUUUGGAUUAGUAGCAGUCUGAAAGCUGAAGAUCCUCGGACUAGAACCAUGUGCACAACUAUGAUGGUUCUCACCACAAUCGCUCUUAUCCUGAGGCAGAUGUUCUCCAAUAAAAUCAAACCCUCCCCCUUUUUGGAUAAGACACCUUAGAGAAAAGGCAAAAAGAGGAUGACGAUACAGGAAUGCCGUACAUGAAAAGUAAUGGAGCGGUACACUGUGAAAAAUGACAAGCACACCACCAUCCAGAGGAAAAAGGUGACCCACAGGAAAACAAGAGGGCCUGUGCUGAUCAGUUCUUUGCUGCAUCUGCCUCAUAACUCUGUCAUGACUGGAGCAGGAAGCUGCAGCUGAGUCAGCGGGUCAAGCCAGCAGCACCUGACAAAUUUUGAAUUUAUGACAUUGCUGUAAGUUUCAGAAAUGAAUUGUGACUUACUUAAGGGGGGUUGACUUAAGGUCACAGACUAAAUAGGAUGCUUUAUUACACUGAUGUUGUCAUUGAUGGAAAGCAGCUCACACAAAGUUAUUCUCCCACAAAAGCCCUUUCUUCUGCCCUGCCUGAAAGGCUUUGUUUGCUGGAUUUACACACGCAACAUCAAAGAAAAGUAAAAGCUUUUAAUUUUUUUAAACAUUGCAUUUGAGCUUGCUUCUUCUUCUCCUGUGGGACUGAGAGUUUGUGUUCAAAUCUGACCAAACAAUGCAGAAAAAUUAAAGAAAAAAAAUGAAUCCAGGAGAUUAGAUCCAUGAUAUAGGUGUAGUUUAAAACCAGGGAUACUCUCAGGUAAAAAAAAUUUGACCUUUUGUCUACAAUCUUUUUAUGCAAAGUCAUGCUGGCAGAGCUUGAAGCUGCUUUAUGAACCUUUGACCGACAUUCUGUCUUUGCUUGGUGUCUUUUUUUCCACACAUGUUGCAACAACAGGCACCAAACAGUCUUUCCCAGCCCGAUAGAAGGAAUUAAAAUGUAAACACACAUUAAGUGGUCUCUUAUAAGUGACAGAAAUGUGCCUCAACAUGUAAAUUAUUUUCUAGAAAUCUUUGUUUUUUUUUACUCCAGUGAUAAAUAUUUUCAUGUUAUUUAAUUGGAAUCCUCUUAGGAAAUCCCAAGUGCCGAGAUUUAACAUAGUAGACAUUUUAAAGUAUUUGUUCUCUAACAGCGAUGGAAUUUCCUUCUUCUUCCUAGAGAGAAUGUCAACAUAUGCACCAAAAAUUAUCAGCUGACAUUGGUUUUAAUAAAUUCCAGAAGAAUUUGAUUACAAACCAACGUCAAAAUACAAAAUAUGAUCCCUAGGACAUUUAUUCUGGCAAUACAAUCAAAUGAUCUUAUUUGUAUAAUCAUAAUUGUGGAUAAUUGAAUUAACUGAAACUGAAAUGCAAUUUUCUUAAACUAGUAGUGACAGCCUAAUCAACAACUGUUUAGGACUUUUUUAUUUAAUUUUUUUUGCUUAGAGCACAAAUACUUGUUUUGCCACCAAAAGAAAUCAUCAACAGGAAUAUUUUCAUGUUGGACUCCUUUGUGGGUUAAUUCCAAAUACUGAAAAAGUUUGUUUUGUCUUUGUUUUGAUGCAGGGUGUUGUAGAGAAUGUGUGACAGAAACAUUCAUUUGUCAAGUGGCCCUCGUGCAUUUUUUUCAGUGACUUCAUAGCCUGAUUUCAGCCACAAGCCACAUGGAUGUGACUGAAUUACAUCUCCCUAGCAACACUACUCACAGAGGAUGUUUAUUCAGCUGUUUUAUUUGUACCGGGGGUGGAAAAAACUACCAAAAAAGCUCCCAGCUAAUUCAUUUACCAUCUUAAUGAUAUGUCUUUGAACAUGUAAAUAUUAAAAAUAACAUUAUAUCAAUUAUAAAAAAAAUACAUUUAUCAAAUGUAUCAAAGCCAAACUCACCUUGAGUCCAUAGUUUAUAAGGCCAGUGUUUGCUGAUUAAGAUAAUUUAGGAGAGUUUACCUUAAGGUCAAAGGACAAAAACUAACAGCUGCAUUCCAUUUUUUCACUUCAAUGAACACAGUUUAGUUGCGGGGUUUUGCAGUGUAAAAAUGUAUUCCUUCUUGUUAUCAUUUAAUUGCAGCAUUCGUGUCAUUUAAUGUGUUUUUUUCAUAUUUUUUUGAAGGUUCGGCAGAACUGUUGCCAUUUUAUUUUGAAAAGCAAAUGUACUGAACAAUUCUCCCUGUUUUGCUUCAGUAAAGUUAUAUAAACAUUGUAAUGGAAUAGAAUAGAACAGGAUAGAAAUAGAAAUAGAAAAAGAAAUAGAAAUAGAACAGAAUUAGAAUAGAAUUGUAUUAUUCCCACAAAGGGGAAAUUACUGCUUACUUAUAAAAUAAAACUUAUAAACGAA
Oryzias latipes (Japanese medaka) is the source of this 2792-nucleotide long non-coding RNA. RefSeq lists it as uncharacterized. The record is from RefSeq and is a predicted model, not a curated record. NCBI's taxonomy places the organism in Eukaryota, Metazoa, Chordata, Actinopteri, Beloniformes, Adrianichthyidae.